AUGUUUUCCUUUUCACCCCCUGUUAGGCGUCGGAACUUCCUUGUAUAUUAUCCACCCUUCUGCAUUAUGGAGUCGCGGAUAAUAAUAAAAAAGGGUAUAAGGAUCAUCAGCUUGUGCCUUGUGGAGUUGUCGUGUCUGGUUCAGACCGUGGAGGUUUCGAACCGACAAAGUCGAAGUCUGGUUUUUAAUGUCAUCAGUGUUCAUGGAUCUUUGUGGUUUAUAUUGUUGAACUGUGAUGAAUUUGUUGCAGUUUUGGGUUCUGGCAUGUUUGUUUGCCUCUGCUUGGCAUCACAGAUGGGAUGUUACUGCUGGGAAUCCCGUGGGAGACGUUUGCCGCGGUAA
RNAcentral lists this ribosomal RNA (342 nucleotides) under Triticum aestivum (bread wheat). RNAcentral describes it as "partial small subunit ribosomal RNA". Lineage: Eukaryota; Viridiplantae; Streptophyta; Magnoliopsida; Poales; Poaceae. The record is from RNAcentral.